UGAAUAAAUAAACUUCCAGGGACUGCUCACAGUAAGCUAUAGGUCAAUGGAUGUGUAGCCGGGUGAAGUGGGGGCAGGGAGGUUUUUGGACUGCUAGAUGGUCCGCACAGAGGGCGAGGGCGUACUGCCCCUUUAAGUACAUUGGCAUGAGUUCACGUGGGAUUUGGAGCUGCAGAGCGGGACCUAGUGGCUACUAACACCACACAGUGUUAGCGGUUAGCAUCGGAACAGCGUUAGGGAAAUACCUGUUCAGCGGGUCAGCAGGGGAGUAACAAGCUGCUGUGGGUUGAGGUUGCACGUGCAUGGAGCCGUGCACGCCGGCGCUUGAGUGAGUUUAUUGUUUUCGGGACUUUUUGGAGGAACGACAAGGGUGUGGGGUUUGAACAGCAUGAGACCGAUGUGCAUGUUCUUUGUUUCUGUUUAACAGGAAGGGGUCACUACUGUUGAUUUUUAUGUAACUGUUAGCUUCAUGUAAUUUCUAGCUUACGGUAAUUGUUAGCUUUAUUCCAUGACAUCCUGUUCUAGUUAGUGAAGCGAAGCAACUGGUUAUUUGUUAUUUGUACACUGUUCCAAGUGCCUCCUUAAUUUGACAUAUUAAGGCUGUGCUCCAGGAGGGCAGUCGGGGGAAAUAAAGAACCCACAUUAAAGAGAAAUACAUUUAU
Molecule: non-coding RNA, 662 nt
Organism: Gasterosteus aculeatus aculeatus (three-spined stickleback)
Lineage: Eukaryota; Metazoa; Chordata; Actinopteri; Perciformes; Gasterosteidae
Source: RefSeq, a predicted model, not a curated record